UACGAAGGGGGCUAGCGUUGCUCGGAAUCACUGGGCGUAAAGCGCACGUAGGCGGCUUACUAAGUCAGGGGUGAAAUCCUGGAGCUCAACUCCAGAACUGCCUUUGAUACUGGUGAGCUUGAGUCCGGAAGAGGUGAGUGGAACUGCGAGUGUGGAGGUGAAAUUCGUAGAUAUUCGCAAGAACACCAGUGGCGAAGGCGGCUCACUGGUCCGGUACUGACGCUGAGGUGCGAAAGCGUGGGGAGCAAACAGG
RNAcentral lists this ribosomal RNA (253 nucleotides) under uncultured bacterium. Its description in RNAcentral is "partial 16S ribosomal RNA". It matches the Rfam family "Bacterial small subunit ribosomal RNA", at positions 524 to 776 of the family's 1533-position model. The record is from RNAcentral.